CACACCGCCCGUCACAUCACGAGAGUCGGUUGCACUAGAAGUCGGUGGGCUAACCCGCAAGGGAGGCAGCCGCCUAAAGUGUGAUCGGUAAUUGGGGUG
RNAcentral lists this ribosomal RNA (99 nucleotides) under uncultured bacterium. RNAcentral describes it as "partial 16S ribosomal RNA". It matches the Rfam family "Bacterial small subunit ribosomal RNA", at positions 1386 to 1482 of the family's 1533-position model. The record is from RNAcentral.